This 304-nucleotide small nuclear RNA is filed under the name Propithecus coquereli (Coquerel's sifaka). RNAcentral's name for it is "7SK RNA (ENSPCOG00000004182.1)". It matches the Rfam family "7SK RNA". From Rfam's summary of the family: 7SK was discovered as an abundant small nuclear RNA in the mid-70s but a possible function has only recently been suggested. Lineage: Eukaryota; Metazoa; Chordata; Mammalia; Primates; Indriidae. The record is from Rfam by way of RNAcentral.
GGAUGUGAGGGCGAUCUGGCUGUGACAUCUGUCACCCCAUUGAUCGCCAGGGUUGAUUUGGUUGAUCUGGCUGGCUAGGUGGGUGUCUCCUUCCUCCCUCACUACUCCUUGUGCCUCCCUCUGAAGCUGCGGGCUCGGUCGAAGAGGACGACCUUCCCCAAUAUAGGAGGACCAUUCUUUGGUCAAGGGUAUACAAGUAGCUGCACUUCCCUGCUAGAACCACCAAACAAGCUCCGAAAAGGCCUACCCAUGAAUAAUUUAAAAAUCUUCAUACACAUUCAUUUUGAGAUGAUUUCUACUUACU